This 456-nucleotide ribosomal RNA is filed under the name uncultured bacterium. RNAcentral describes it as "partial 16S ribosomal RNA". It matches the Rfam family "Bacterial small subunit ribosomal RNA", at positions 29 to 522 of the family's 1533-position model. The record is from RNAcentral.
AAUGAACGCUGGCGGCAUGCCUAACACAUGCAAGUCGAACGGAGAACAGCUUGCUGUUCUUAGUGGCAAACGGGUGAGUAACGCGUGGGAAUCUACCUUUCUGUGGGGGAUAACUGGGGGAAACUUCAGCUAAUACCGCAUACGCUCGGAAACGAGGAAAGAUUUAUUGCAGAAAGAUGAGCCCGCGUCAGAUUAGGUAGUUGGUGGGGUAAUGGCCUACCAAGCCGACGAUCUGUAGCUGGUCUGAGAGGAUGAUCAGCCACACUGGGAUUGAGAUACGGCCCAGACUCCUACGGGAGGCAGCAGUGAGGAAUAUUGGACAAUGGGGGAAACCCUGAUCCAGCAAUGCCGCGUGAAUGAAGAAGGCCUUCGGGUUGUAAAAUUCUUUCACUCGUGAAGAUGAUGACGGUAGCGAGAGAAGAAGCUCCGGCUAACUCUGUGCCAGCCGCCGCAGAA